Molecule: ribosomal RNA, 274 nt
Filed under: uncultured bacterium
Lineage: Bacteria
Description: partial 16S ribosomal RNA
Rfam family: Bacterial small subunit ribosomal RNA
Source: RNAcentral
AUACGGAGGGAGCGAGCGUUAAUCGGAAUUACUGGGCGUAAAGCGCGCGUAGGCGGCUUUGUAAGUCGGAUGUGAAAGCCCUGGGCUCAACCUGGUAAUGGCAUUCGAAACUGCAUGGCUAGAGUAUGGUAGAGGGAAGUGGAAUUUCCGGUGUAGCGGUGAAAUGCGUAGAUAUCGGAAGGAACACCAGUGGCGAAGGCGACUUCCUGGGCCAAUACUGACGCUGAGGCGCGAAAGCGUGGGUAGCAAACAGGAUUAGAAACCCCAGUAGUCC